This is a long non-coding RNA of Calliphora vicina (urban bluebottle blowfly), 581 nucleotides long. RefSeq lists it as uncharacterized. The record is from RefSeq and is a predicted model, not a curated record. The transcript is spliced from 2 exons. Lineage: Eukaryota; Metazoa; Arthropoda; Insecta; Diptera; Calliphoridae.
AACAGUUCUCAACCCUUUGAGUGUUAACAGUAAACAAAUCAACAAAAAAAACUUUACAAAAUGUUCAAAUACGUCGUUGUUGUCUUGGCUAUGUUGUUGGGUUUGGCUUUCGCUGCUCCCAAUCCAGCUCCUGUUGCCAGCCCCAAUCCUGAUCCCAGCCUCUUGCCUUUGGGUCUACCAUUGGGCCCCGUUGUUGUAGCUGGCCCCAGACUAUUGCCUAGCUCCGUUGUAGUUGGUCCUUAUGGUCCAGUAAUUGUUGGUUAAAUUAAUUCGUCGCUUCGACAAUGAUUUCGCCUGCACCUAUAAUCGAAUUGCCAUCCUUUUGUAAUAUUGUUUUUUUGAAGAUAAUUUUGCGAGCACCCAUCGUGUACCCUGUUGUGAAAUUUUCGUCGUAAUUUCUUUUUUUAAGUUUUUUCUAUUACUUUUUUCUCUUUAUUUCUUUCUAUUUUGCAUUAACAUUUCGCUAUACAUAUAAACAAAAAAAUAUAUAUAAAACACAAAAAUGUAAAAAAAAGAAUUAUAAUUUUGUAUGCAACUUCAAAUAAAAAUUCAGGUUAACAUUUAAAAAAAUAAAAUAAUAA